Molecule: long non-coding RNA, 1465 nt
Organism: Phymastichus coffea
Lineage: Eukaryota; Metazoa; Arthropoda; Insecta; Hymenoptera; Eulophidae
Exons: 6
Source: RefSeq, a predicted model, not a curated record
GAAAUCUUAUUUAAUAAAUAAUCAUAUAUAAGCUUGUUAAGUUCUACCAUAAGCUAGCAACACAUGUGUGAAAGUGAAGCUGUUGUUUACUUUACCAAAUCUACUUCACUGUCGUUCCAUCUACGUGGUAGUACUAUCACAGAUCUGGCAUCAAUUUGGUAAAUAUUUAUUGUCAUUUUCAACAGAGAAAGAACAACGUAUAUCUACAUUAACGAUCACAGGAUCUGCCAAGGUUCUACUAGUCCAAAAGUAUCUAGAACGGAUUGAAAUUAGAAUCCCAAAUUGGUCUAACAUAAUAGUUCAUUGUGUGUACACAAAAGAAAAAUUAUGACGGAAUCUGAGUUUAGUUGUUUUAAGUGUGUAGGUGAUUUGUGCCAAAAAGCAGUAAAGAAUUUGCCAACCUGCAACACUACAAUUAAUUGCUAUAAAUAUGCCAUUCGAAGAUCCGACGCAACCAUUAAUUAUAAUCGUGGAUGCAUCCCUACAACAGAGGUAUUCCAAGAUAUUUGUAAUGUAACAUUCCUGCAUAAAGACGAUUAUAGUUAUGAAUGCUGUAAAGGGGAUUUUUGCAAUGGCGGCCAUUUGCCUAUCCUACCUGAUAUUAAUACGGGUCGACAUUGGUAUUUUUACUAUGUUAUAGUUGCAAUAAUCUGUGGAUCUUUUGUUGUACUCAUCACUACUCUUAUCAAAAUACACCAAUAUGAGAUGCGCGCCAACAGAACACAGCGGGAAGGAGAAGAAGGAGAAGGACGACAAGAAAGAAGAGGAGAAGGAGGACAAGAAAGAGAAGAAGAAUUGGUAGAGAUGUUAGAAAUGAAUGGAUUGCCACGUGGGCGUAUCGGCAUCGUCAGAAGUAUUGGAUCGUAACUUUGACGAUCCGAAAUGACUCCAGCCAAUGAUAGCAUCGUUCAGUUAAUUACACAAAGUCUUUUAUUAAUGAAACGCCAAAUCAAACAAAGUUUGGAGUAAAGAACUUUUUCAAAUCAAAUAUUAUUUAUCAUUCGUCAGUUUUAUCAAAUCGAUGAACCAAUUAUAUGGUUUCAACUUGCACAUUUGGAAUUUAUAGACUUAUUGACAAUCCGAUAUCUAUAGCUUAAACUAUAUUAUAGGAGAUAUGACUCCGAGUAGCUAGCUAUUGACGAACAAGAGCCAACAACCGAGGAGAGGUCCUAAUUAAAUGCUGAUAAUCAAACUAAUAACUCCAAAAUUUCCGAUGACAAUUGGCAUACAGAUCUGAUAACGAAUUUCUUGGGUUCUCUGAUUCAAACCUCUUGACAAACAAACGCAUCAGCGCGUUGGCCGAUUUGACAAGUUAUGGAGACGCUUUCAAUAUCUUCAAAUAAUUAAUUAUUUAUACUACUUGGACGAUGAUAUUAUUGGAAAAAUAUUCUUACGAAAAAUAUUUUUAAUUAAAAACGAUUCUUUAAAGACGUAUUUCUUUUGUUUUCAAUUUUUUUUCUAUAAA